CCCUUAGAUGUUCUGGGCUGCACGCGCGCUACACUGAAGCGUUCAACGAGUAUUCACCUUGCCCGGGAGGGUUGGGUAAUCUUUUGAAAACGCUUCGUGAUGGGGAUAGAUUAUUGCAAUUAUUAAUCUUCAACGAGGAAUUCCUAGUAAGCGCGAGUCAUCAGCUCGUGCUGAUUACGUCCCUGCCCUUUGUACACACCGCCCGUCGCUCCUACCGAUUUCGAGUGGUCCGGUGAAUCUUUCGGACUGCGCGCAGCUUCGUGCCGUGUCGCGGAAAGUCAGGUAAACCUAAUCACUUAGAGGAAGGACAAGUCGUAACA
This 320-nucleotide ribosomal RNA is filed under the name uncultured eukaryote. Its description in RNAcentral is "partial 18S ribosomal RNA". It matches the Rfam family "Eukaryotic small subunit ribosomal RNA", at positions 1470 to 1796 of the family's 1831-position model. The record is from RNAcentral.